Molecule: unclassified non-coding RNA, 18 nt
Filed under: Chlamydomonas reinhardtii
Lineage: Eukaryota; Viridiplantae; Chlorophyta; Chlorophyceae; Chlamydomonadales; Chlamydomonadaceae
Description: small RNA Cre_1094
Source: RNAcentral
CCGCCUGCCGAACCGGCG